This 219-nucleotide unclassified non-coding RNA is filed under the name Hevea brasiliensis (rubber tree). The record is from RNAcentral. Lineage: Eukaryota; Viridiplantae; Streptophyta; Magnoliopsida; Malpighiales; Euphorbiaceae.
UGGGAACUCCUUUCUCCUCAUUCAAGUCUUCGUACCCUGAGGUGUUUUGCAUCCACGAAGGGUUUGAGAUGUGCAACUCCUCGGGUCUUUGUAAAGGGACUACUGGCAUCUGAGGUCUAAACAUCAAUGGAGAAUGAGAAGCCCUAGGACUUGAAGGUGGAGAUUGACCCAUAAAUUCACCAUCUCUAGCAUCCAUAGUUUCUUGUAUCCCAACACUAG